Non-coding RNA from Schistocerca cancellata (South American locust), 71 nucleotides. The record is from the annotation of a RefSeq genome assembly. Lineage: Eukaryota; Metazoa; Arthropoda; Insecta; Orthoptera; Acrididae.
GCAUCGGUGGUUCAGUGGUAGAAUGCUCGCCUGCCACGCUUGCGGCCCGGGUUCGAUUCCCGGCCGAUGCA